RNAcentral lists this ribosomal RNA (513 nucleotides) under uncultured bacterium. Its description in RNAcentral is "bacterial SSU rRNA". It matches the Rfam family "Bacterial small subunit ribosomal RNA", at positions 879 to 1381 of the family's 1533-position model. The record is from RNAcentral.
AGUACGGGCGCAAGCCUGAAACUCAAAGGAAUUGGCGGGGGCCCGCACAACCGGUGGAGCGUCUGGUUCAAUUCGAUGCUAACCGAAGAACCUUACCCGGGCUUGACAUGCCAGGGUAACCUCUGCGAAAGCGGAGGGUUUUCAUUCCUCUGGAAUGAACCCUGGCACAGGUGGUGCAUGGCCGUCGUCAGCUCGUGUCGUGAGAUGUUGGGUUAAGUCCCGCAACGAGCGCAACCCCUGCCUCCAGUUGCUACCCCGUUUGGGGAGCACCCUGGAGGGACUGCCGGCGACAAGCCGGAGGAAGGUGGGGAUGACGUCAGGUCAGUAUGCCCUUUAUGCCCGGGGCCACACAGGCGCUACAGUGGCCGGGACAAUGGGAUGCGACCCAGCAAUGGGGAGCCAAUCCUCAAACCCGGUCAUGGUGCGGAUUGUGGGCUGAAACUCGCCCACAUGAAGCCGGAAUCGGUAGUAACGGGGUAUCAGCGAUGUCCCCGUGAAUACGUUCUCGGGCCU